This 1278-nucleotide small RNA is filed under the name Torulaspora delbrueckii. Its description in RNAcentral is "eukaryotic LSU rRNA". The stretch from base 683 to 1278 matches the Rfam family "Eukaryotic large subunit ribosomal RNA", at positions 1 to 600 of the family's 3401-position model. Lineage: Eukaryota; Fungi; Ascomycota; Saccharomycetes; Saccharomycetales; Saccharomycetaceae. The record is from RNAcentral.
CGUCUAAAGAUACUGUAAGAGAGGAUCAGGUUCAAGACCAGCGCUUAAUUGCGCGGUUGCGGCUUGGUUCGCCUUUUGCGGAACAUGUCUUUUCUCGUUGUUAACUCUACUUCAACUUCUACAACACUGUGGAGUUUUCUACACAACUUUUCUUCUUUGGGAAGAUACGUCUUGUGCGUGCUUCCCAGAGGUGACAAACACAAACAACUUUUUAUUAUUAUAAACCAGUCAAAACCAAUUUCGUUAUGAAAUUAAAAAUAUUUAAAACUUUCAACAACGGAUCUCUUGGUUCUCGCAUCGAUGAAGAACGCAGCGAAAUGCGAUACGUAAUGUGAAUUGCAGAAUUCCGUGAAUCAUCGAAUCUUUGAACGCACAUUGCGCCCCUUGGUAUUCCAGGGGGCAUGCCUGUUUGAGCGUCAUUUCCUUCUCAAACAAUCAUGUUUGGUAGUGAGUGAUACUCUGUCAAGGGUUAACUUGAAAUUGCUAGCCUGUUAUUUGGUUGUGAUUUUGCUGGCUUGGAUGACUUUGUCCAGUCUAGCUAAUACCGAAUUGUCGUAUUAGGUUUUACCAACUUCGGCAGACUGUGUGUUGGCUCGGGCGCUUUAAAGACUUUGUCGUAAACGAUUUAUCGUUUGUUUGAGCUUUUCGCAUACGCAAUCCGGCGAACAAUACUCUCAAAGUUUGACCUCAAAUCAGGUAGGAAUACCCGCUGAACUUAAGCAUAUCAAUAAGCGGAGGAAAAGAAACCAACCGGGAUUGCCUUAGUAACGGCGAGUGAAGCGGCAAAAGCUCAAAUUUGAAAUCUGGUACCUUCGGUGCCCGAGUUGUAAUUUGUAGAAGGUAACUUUGGGGCUGGUCCUUGUCUAUGUUCCUUGGAACAGGACGUCAUAGAGGGUGAGAAUCCCGUGUGGCGAGGAUCCCAGUUCUUUGUAAAGUGCUUUCGAAGAGUCGAGUUGUUUGGGAAUGCAGCUCUAAGUGGGUGGUAAAUUCCAUCUAAAGCUAAAUAUUGGCGAGAGACCGAUAGCGAACAAGUACAGUGAUGGAAAGAUGAAAAGAACUUUGAAAAGAGAGUGAAAAAGUACGUGAAAUUGUUGAAAGGGAAGGGCAUUUGAUCAGACAUGGUGUUUUGCGCCCUCUGCUCCUUGUGGGUGGGGGAAUCUCGCAGCUCACUGGGCCAGCAUCAGUUUUGGCGGCAGGAUAAAUCUGCAGGAAUGUAGCUUGCCUCGGUAAGUGUUAUAUCCUGUAGAAAUACUGCCAGCUGGGACUGAGGACUGCGAC